RNAcentral lists this ribosomal RNA (423 nucleotides) under uncultured bacterium. Its description in RNAcentral is "partial 16S ribosomal RNA". It matches the Rfam family "Bacterial small subunit ribosomal RNA", at positions 359 to 774 of the family's 1533-position model. The record is from RNAcentral.
GAAUCUUCCACAAUUGGCGAAAGCCCGAUGGAGCAACGCCGCGUGAGUGAAGAAGGUUUUCGGAUCGUAAAAGUCUGUUGUACGGGAAGAACAAUUACAGUAGUAACUGGCUGUACCUUGACUGUACCUGAUUAGGAAGCCACGGCUAACUAUGUGCCAGCAGCCGCGGUAAUACGUAGGGGGCAAGCGUUGUCCGGAAUUAUUGGGCGUAAAGCGAGCGCAGGCGGUACUUUAAGUCUGAAGUGAAAGCCCGCGGCUCAACCGUGGAGGGGCAUUGGAAACUGGGGGACUUGAGUGCAGAAGAGGAAAGUGGAAUUCCAAGUGUAGCGGUGAAAUGCGUAGAGAUUUGGAGGAACACCAGUGGCGAAGGCGACUUGCUGGUCGGUAACUGACGCUGAGGCGCGAAAGCGUGGGGAGCAAACA